GAAAAUGGAGUUCUAAAAGAAGCUGCUAACUAUCUUUUAAAGCGGUUAAAUUCCGUUUAUUUUCU
This 65-nucleotide transfer RNA is filed under the name Poecilocoris druraei. RNAcentral describes it as "tRNA-Ser". The record is from RNAcentral. Lineage: Eukaryota; Metazoa; Arthropoda; Insecta; Hemiptera; Scutelleridae.